CGAAGGCUUCGGCCUUAGUGGCGCACGGGUGCGUAACGCGUGGGAAUCUGCCCUCAGGUUCGGAAUAACAGCGAGAAAUUGCUGCUAAUACCGGAUGAUAUCGCGAGAUCAAAGAUUUAUCGCCUGAGGAUGAGCCCGCGUAGGAUUAGCUAGUUGGUGUGGUAAAGGCGCACCAAGGCGACGAUCCUUAGCUGGUCUGAGAGGAUGAUCAGCCACACUGGGACUGAGACACGGCCCAGACUCCUACGGGAGGCAGCAGUGGGGAAUAUUGGACAAUGGGCGAAAGCCUGAUCCAGCAAUGCCGCGUGAGUGAUGAAGGCCUUAGGGUUGUAAAGCUCUUUUACCCGGGAUGAUAAUGACAGUACCGGGAGAAUAAGCUCCGGCUAACUCCGUGCCAGCAGCCGCGGUAAUACGGAGGGAGCUAGCGUUAUUCGGAAUUACU
This 442-nucleotide ribosomal RNA is filed under the name uncultured Sphingomonas sp. RNAcentral's name for it is "bacterial SSU rRNA". It matches the Rfam family "Bacterial small subunit ribosomal RNA", at positions 67 to 555 of the family's 1533-position model. The record is from RNAcentral. Lineage: Bacteria; Pseudomonadati; Pseudomonadota; Alphaproteobacteria; Sphingomonadales; Sphingomonadaceae.